AGAAGAGCGGGAAGAGGCGGACAGCGAGGCCAAGAUUUCAGCUGCGGGACGGUCAGGGGAGACCUCCAGGCGCAGGGAAGGACGUGAGGAGGGGAAGCGGGCUGGGGCGGCAGCCGGGCGGAGGGGCAGCUGCGCAGGCGGAAUGAGGAACGCCUUUGCUCUAAGGCGACCACCCUGGCAGCUCUUCACUGAGGGGCCUCGGUUUCCACAUCUGUCGCUCUCCGGUCCCAAGACCACCAGGACCGACGGGGCUCUCCGGGAGGGUCAGCCCCUCCGGUGGCCCCAGUCAUGCAUCAGGGGACGGAUCAGAAGGGCUAGGAAGAGGGGUCGUGGGGAAGGCCCCAGAAAAAAGAGGAAGGAGGGAAGAUUUUGCCUGAAGCGGGAAAGCCAAGGGCUGGGCGGCGCGAGACCCCCAUUCCUAGCGACUGGGGCUGGCUGGUGGCCCGCGGCAGCCCCCGCGCCGGGAGGAUUAGGCCUCCCGCCGCUCCCACCCGUCCGGACCCUCCCACGUGUUUAGGUCCUCCCAAAAGUAUUCGGCCUCCGGCCCCUGCCCCUUCCCCCGGCUGGCCUGGACCUCGGGGACGUGGGGGGAACCCCGUGGGAGCAGGGGGAUUCUGGACGGGGAGGGAGUAGCGGUUGGGGAGAAGGCUGAGCGGGGAAAGGAGAGAGGGGCUCCGGGGACGGCAGGGAGGAGAGUGGGUCGUGCCGGAGACCCAGGGAGAGACACAAUGGGCAAGAUUAGGGGUGUAGGGUGGGAGUGCGAACUGACUGAUUCCUAGCGUGGGCAGGGAACUUUGCUAAAACUGCAGGCCCCAGGGAACAGCGCGGGCAGGGUGGGAGGGAACGGAGAGGGCCAGGCGGACCCUAAGGUCAAUUUGGAGAAAGGGCCAUUUCCAGGCUCCUUCACCUGUGCCCAGCGUUCUACAGGCCUGGACCCCGCCCCCGCUCCCCACCCUCCCCCCAGAGCAGGGCGCGGGAGGAGGCGGCUCGGGCUGGCUCGGAGAGCUGAGGGGCGCACACCCGCUUCGCAGGGCCAGGGUGACACGGAAGCAUGCGACGGCUGCUGAUCCCUCUGGCCCUGUGGCUGGGUGCGGUGGGCGUGGGCGUCGCCGAGCUCACGGAAGCCCAGCGCCGGGGCCUGCAGGUGGCCCUGGAGGAAUUUCACAAGCACCCGCCCGUGCAGUGGGCCUUCCAGGAGACCAGUGUGGAGAGCGCCGUGGACACGGUGAGUAGCAUGGCCCGGGCAGGAGCGGGGAGGGUCGUACCCCAGGAGACCAGCGCAUUCCCACGAAGGGGGACAGAAGUGCUUGGGCUCUGAGCCCCAGCCCUUUGGAGAAAAGGCCACUGUCCAGCCUGCUGGAAUGUGACUGCGUGAGGGAGGUGCGGAUCACACCAGGGCUUGCUCUGCACCCUCAGCUGGCUACCGGCCAUCCUCUGCCUGCCUGUCUGUCCGCAGCCCUUCCCAGCUGGAAUAUUUGUGAGGCUGGAAUUUAAGCUGCAGCAGACAAGCUGCCGGAAGAGGGACUGGAAGAAACCCGAGUGCAAAGUCAGGCCCAAUGGGAGGAAACGGAAAUGCCUGGCCUGCAUCAAACUGGGCUCUGAGGACAAAGUUCUGGGCCGGUUGGUCCACUGCCCCAUAGAGACCCAAGUUCUGCGGGAGGCUGAGGAGCACCAGGAGACCCAGUGCCUCAGGGUGCAGCGGGCUGGUGAGGACCCCCACAGCUUCUACUUCCCUGGACAGUUCGCCUUCUCCAAGGCCCUGCCCCGCAGCUAAGCCAGCACUGAGAUGCGUGGUGCCUCCAGGACCGCUGCGGGUGGUAACCAGUGGAAGACCCCAGCCCCCAGGGAGAGGAACCCGUUCUAUCCCCAGCCAUGAUAAUAAAGCUGCUCUCCCAGCUGCCUCUC
This 1905-nucleotide long non-coding RNA is filed under the name Homo sapiens (human). Its description in RNAcentral is "non-protein coding lnc-ACTR3C-4:1". Lineage: Eukaryota; Metazoa; Chordata; Mammalia; Primates; Hominidae. The record is from RNAcentral.